CAUUACGGGAGGCAGCAGUGGGGUAUAUUGCACAAUGUGCGCAAGCCUGAUGCAGCGACGCCGCGUGAGGGAUGACGGCCUUCGGGUUGUAAACCUCUUUCAGCAGGGAAGAAGCGUGAGUGACGGUACCUGCAGAAGAAGCACCGGCUAACUACGUGCCAGCAGCCGCGGUAAAACGUAGGAGGCGAGCGUUAUCCGGAUUUACUGGGCGUAAAGGGCGUGCAGGUGGCUGAAUAAGUGGUGUGUGAAAGCGCUCGGCUCAACCGGGCGAGGGCGUGCCAAACUGUUCAACUAGAAACAGGCAGAGGAAAGUGGAAUUCGGGGUGUAGUGGUGAAAUGCGUAGAGAUCCCGAGGAACUCCUGUGGCGAAGGCGACUUUCUGGGCCUGCUUUGACACUCAGACGCGAAAGCAUGGGGAGCGCCACGGGAUUAGAAACCCCGGUAGUCCAUGCCGUAAACGAUGUCCACUGGGCGUUUGCCCCGCAAGGGGUGAGUGCCGCAGCCAACGCGCUAAGUGGACCGCCUGGGGAUGUACGACCGCCAAGGUUAAAACUCAAAGGAAUUG
RNAcentral lists this ribosomal RNA (565 nucleotides) under uncultured Actinomycetes bacterium. RNAcentral describes it as "bacterial SSU rRNA". It matches the Rfam family "Bacterial small subunit ribosomal RNA", at positions 338 to 912 of the family's 1533-position model. Lineage: Bacteria; Bacillati; Actinomycetota; Actinomycetes. The record is from RNAcentral.